This 204-nucleotide ribosomal RNA is filed under the name Triticum aestivum (bread wheat). RNAcentral's name for it is "partial small subunit ribosomal RNA". The record is from RNAcentral. Lineage: Eukaryota; Viridiplantae; Streptophyta; Magnoliopsida; Poales; Poaceae.
AUGAACGGCGAUUUCAACGCAAUCUAUGAGGCUCAGGACAAAGACAACCUUAACCUCAACCACCGCAUCAUGGCGCGGUUCCGAUCGGCGCUAAAUAGCAGCGAUCUCAAGGAGAUCAAUCUGUGUGGCAGGCGGUUCACAUGGUCAAACGAGCAUGCCUCGCCCACGCUGGUGCGCCUGGACUGCGCCUUCUGCACGUUGGAG